This 1203-nucleotide ribosomal RNA is filed under the name Triticum aestivum (bread wheat). RNAcentral describes it as "partial small subunit ribosomal RNA". The record is from RNAcentral. Lineage: Eukaryota; Viridiplantae; Streptophyta; Magnoliopsida; Poales; Poaceae.
AUGGAGCCCGAAAGGCCCAGAUCUGGGCCGGGCGGGCGCCGCCAGCCCGCGCCGCCGCGCUGCCCCGCCGCCAACGGCGCGCCUCCGCCUAUAGCUCGCCCCCGCCUGCGACAGGACACCCCGCCACCGCCCGAGGCGGGCGCCGGCGACGGCGGCAGGGAGGAGGAGGAGAGAGGGGGGCGCGCGCGGGGAAGGAGGGGAGGCGCGGCCGGCGGCGCGUGUCUCUAUCGCUAUCCUAUUUUCCAAGUGAUAUGCCCAGGGCCUGCUGUCCGUGUAGGCAAGGACGUGGCAAUGCUAGAUGGUAUUGUCUUUGACGACAUGGCAACGAUGGAUUUUUGCCAGCUAGUAGUGGAUGAGUUAAAGCGUGCUGCUAUCAUAUGGCAAGAUCCAAAUAUCAUUCAAGCAGGGAAAGUGAAUGAGUUAGCUGCUGAGGUUUCCACGACUUCUGAUCGCCUGGGCUAUAUUGCUAGCAUUUUUCCUGAAGGUCAUGGACCAAGUGAACAAGCAAUGAAGGAGGCUACGGAGUGUGAUGUUGCUAACAUUGAUAGUCUGCAGAGCGCGACAUCAUAUAUUCAUACUGCUUUCAACGAGUUGAAUAGGGAACACGAUGCCAUAUGUAAAGGUUUUGAAAAUGAUGCUCGUAUUAUUGUGAGUCAGAUUAGCAAGCAGAAGGAUGAUGUGUCUCAGCCUGUUCACGGUGAAGAUGCUAUCGGGCAGCCAGGCGAGGAGGGUAGUGUUAACGCACCGGAUGGUGAAGAAGAUGAGAAGCCAGAGCCCACUGCCGAAUCUCCACCGCAUGGUUAUAGUGACGGCGAUGUCAUGGAUGAUGAUCGUUUGGGCGGUGAUUCUGAUGAGGGUUGUGAGGGUGUUGAUGACAGUGUUGACCUUAUGGAGAUAAUUUCCGCACCAGUUCAGCCCCCAGCCCUAGGUGAAUGCGGCAAAUCUGAUGAGCCAGAGCUUGUGCAGCAAGUCUUUGCGUUGACCUUUCCAAAGGCAAGCAAGCCGACUUUGAUUGUCAUGAGGUUGUGUCAGUUACGCUUGAUGGUGGUGCAGCAGGGAAUGAUCAUGCUUCAUAUGAUUCAAGUCGUUUUGUCGUUGACAAAGUUGAAUGUAGUUCAGCAUUGCCUGAAGCUAGACAGAUGCCCGGAGGGGCUUGCGCGAGUGUUUUUGUCAUGGAUGGCGGUGUUGACGCUGCUGGUCUAA